CGGAGGUCACACAAGGAGUUGUAAAUGAGUCACAACUAAACUGCAUUUCUUGGUUCUCAGCUUAGGACACUCGCUACUUCUCCCAUGACAACAAAGCUCCCCAUGGCUCUUCCCAUCUGCAGUUCUCAAAGUCUUCGUAAUCGGUCAACCAACCCACCCGUCCAUCUAGACAUCCAUCCACCCAUCAGGAAGUAUGCAACCCAUGAAGCAGCCUUGGCAAGUACCACCCCCGAGGACAGAGGCUAGAAUAAAAUCAAGAGCUGCCACCAGUUUCAGAUUUCCUGACCAGCUAAAGACCAGUGGG
This 304-nucleotide long non-coding RNA is filed under the name Canis lupus familiaris (dog). Its description in RNAcentral is "lncRNA (ENSCAFG00000051787.1, ENSCAFG00845002891.1)". Lineage: Eukaryota; Metazoa; Chordata; Mammalia; Carnivora; Canidae. The record is from RNAcentral.